Long non-coding RNA from Quercus lobata, 1114 nucleotides. RefSeq lists it as uncharacterized. The transcript is spliced from 5 exons. Lineage: Eukaryota; Viridiplantae; Streptophyta; Magnoliopsida; Fagales; Fagaceae. The record is from RefSeq and is a predicted model, not a curated record.
UUUUACCGCCUUUUCUUUUUUAGCUAGUCUCCCACACUCUCUCUCUCUCUCAGACGUCGAAAAUCUCCUCACUGUCUCAUCUCUACCACUACCCACAAACCCACAGCCACAGCCGCCACCACCACCACCUCCUAACCCCCAACCACAGCCACCAUGACCACCCAAAAAUCGAGCCUAGUUAGGUCCAAAAACAAAUGGGUCAGGUCUAGCCCGACCCAUUUGUCUUAUCGUUUCUAACCCUAACGGUUCAUGCCCCUAAUCUAGAACCUUCCCUCGUUUUGCUAUCUCAUCCAAACUCUCUUGACAGAAACCCAUGGCUUGAGCUACCUGAUCUCAUCACCUCAAACCGGCACUGCCACCACAGGAGGCAGCUUGCUCCUCAUCAAAAAGCCUUACCGAGAUUCCUAUUUCUUUUUUCUAUUUAUUGUUAUCGAAACCCUAAUUUCUUGUUUGGUACACCGCAGGACCGAAAGACUGGUCAAAAGAGCAAAAGAGGAAGUCGUCAAGGUUCAUCUUGGCACCAAUUGACGCUUCGCGAGACAUUAAUCGCUCUGUCUAUCUCUCACUCGCUAGGGAUUUUGAGGAAAUUCAAGAGCUGUUGAGAUUGGUCGAUGGCACUGUAAAGCCUUCACUUUCUCAAAGAUUGCAAACCCAGUGUCUCUGCAAACAGCAAGUUCUAAAUACCCAUCAACGAUUCCAGUGUCUCUGCUAAAAAGAAUUACAUUUUGCGUGUCAAGGAAUUAUGAGUAGCUGAGUGCUGUCUUUUAUGCUUUAAGGUUUCUCAGAAUUGCCAAAGUCAAAUGGUUUCCUAAUUAUUGAAGCAAAUGGUGGGUUGAACCAACAGCGCUUAUCGCCAGCAUAUACAUUGAAGAUUUGGGAAUCAUUCACCACACAGAUACCCAACUUGGUACCAUAUCAUUUCUACUUUUAUGGUAGAGCUAUAUCAUGGAGAACUAUGAGAAUGUGCUACUUUCUACUUAUAGUUUCUAUGUAUGAACACUGCUCAAGGUUUAUGUGCUGAAGGUUUUGAAAGUUUUGGUGACUACAUUUAUGGAGAUGUGUGUUUAAUACCUACUGUAAACGUGAUAUGUUCAAGAUUGCAUUUUGAAAGAAA